RNAcentral lists this ribosomal RNA (989 nucleotides) under Lactobacillus crispatus. RNAcentral describes it as "partial 23S ribosomal RNA". It matches the Rfam family "Bacterial large subunit ribosomal RNA", at positions 945 to 1940 of the family's 2925-position model. Lineage: Bacteria; Bacillati; Bacillota; Bacilli; Lactobacillales; Lactobacillaceae. The record is from RNAcentral.
CCAGAUAAACUACGAAUUCCAGAUAUCCAUACACGGGAGUCAGACUGCGAGUGAUAAGAUCCGUAGUCGAAAGGGAAACAGCCCAGAUCACCAGUUAAGGUCCCCAAAUCUAUGCUAAGUGGAAAAGGAUGUGGAGUUGCGUAGACAACUAGGACGUUGGCUCAGAAGCAGCCAUCAUUCAAAGAGUGCGUAAUAGCUCACUAGUCGAGUGGCGCUGCGCCGAAAAUUUACCGGGGCUAAGCAUAGUACCGAAACUGUGGAUGUGUUUUAAAGAGCACGUGGUAGGAGAGCGUUCUAAGAGCGGAGAAGUUGAAUCGAGAGGAUCAAUGGAGCGCUUAGAAGUGAGAAUGCCGGUAUGAGUAGCGAAAGAUAGGUGAGAAUCCUAUCCGCCGAAAGACUAAGGUUUCCUGGGGCAGGCUCGUCCGCCCAGGGUAAGUCGGGACCUAAGGCAAGGCCGAGAGGCGUAGUCGAUGGACAACAGGUAGAAAUUCCUGUACUGUGUUCAAUCGUUAUGAGCGAUGGAGGGACGCAGGAGGUGAAGCACGCAUCGAGCUGGAUCGAUGUUCAAGCGACAAGUGCGGUUAAGAGUCAAAUGCUUCUAACCAGCAACACGAGUCGUGAUGAGGAGUGAAGUAAAAGUAGCGAAGGUGUGGUAGUCACACUGCCAAGAAAAGCUUCUAGCCAGAGAGAACAUACCCGUACCGCAAACCGACACAGGUAGUCGAGUGGAGAACACUAAGGUGAGCGAGAGAACUCUCGUUAAGGAACUCGGCAAAAUGACCCCGUAACUUCGGAAGAAGGGGUGCUAGCCAAGAGAUUGGUUAGCCGCAGUGAAUAGGCCCAAACAACUGUUUAUCAAAAACACAGGUCUCUGCAAAAUCGUAAGAUGACGUAUAGAGGCUGACACCUGCCCGGUGCUGGAAGGUUAAGAGGAGAGCUUAGCGUAAGCGAAGGUUUGAAUUGAAGCCCCAGUAAACGGCGGCCGUAAC